RNAcentral lists this ribosomal RNA (252 nucleotides) under uncultured bacterium. RNAcentral's name for it is "partial 16S ribosomal RNA". It matches the Rfam family "Bacterial small subunit ribosomal RNA", at positions 524 to 776 of the family's 1533-position model. The record is from RNAcentral.
GACGUAGGGCGCGAGCGUUGUCCGGAUUUAUUGGCGUAAAGAGCUCGUAGGCGGCUUGUCGCGUCGUCCGUGAAAACUUGGGGCUCAACCCCAAGCUUGCGGUCGAUACGGGCAGGCUAGAGUUCGGUAGGGGAGACUGGAAUUCCUGGUGUAGCGGUGAAAUGCGCAGAUAUCAGGAGGAACACCGGUGGCGAAGGCGGGUCUCUGGGCCGAUACUGACGCUGAGGAGCGAAAGCGUGGGGAGCGAACAGG